Molecule: long non-coding RNA, 389 nt
Filed under: Carica papaya (papaya)
Lineage: Eukaryota; Viridiplantae; Streptophyta; Magnoliopsida; Brassicales; Caricaceae
Description: long non-coding RNA (CPAP_LNC000455)
Source: RNAcentral
GUACCACAUCAGCACCCAUGUCAGCAGCCACGUCAGUGGCCCGGUCAGCAGCCCUGGCCAACCAGGACAUGUCGCGUGGCAAGGAAACGCUGACAUGGGACGGGCCACGUGGGCGAUCCGCGUGCGCGUGAUCGGAUGGCCCAGAUCCGUUCCCGCGCACACAGACAGCCCAGAUCAAACGUGCACACGGACGGCCCAGAUUCACGCGUACGGACGACUCAGAUUCAAUCAGGCAUGGACGGUCCAGAUUGCAUCGCGAUGGAUGGCCCAGAUUUAAUCCCAAUUAAAUCGUGAUCGAACGGUCCAGAUUUAAUCUUGAUGAACGGUUGAGAUUAAAAGUCAAAGGGUAUAAAUAACCCCACCCACACCUGACCACAAAACCCUAGCCG